AACGUAGGACACAAGCGUUAAUCGGAAUUACUGGGCGUAAAGCGUGCGCAGGCGGUGAUGUAAGACAGAUGUGAAAUCCCCGGGCUCAACCUGGGAACUGCAUUUGUGACUGCAUCGCUGGAGUACGGCAGAGGGGGAUGGAAUUCCGCGUGUAGCAGUGAAAUGCGUAGAUAUGCGGAGGAACACCAAUGGCGAAGGCAAUCCCCUGGGCCUGUACUGACGCUCAUGCACGAAAGCGUGGGGAGCAAACAGG
RNAcentral lists this ribosomal RNA (253 nucleotides) under uncultured bacterium. Its description in RNAcentral is "partial 16S ribosomal RNA". It matches the Rfam family "Bacterial small subunit ribosomal RNA", at positions 524 to 776 of the family's 1533-position model. The record is from RNAcentral.